RNAcentral lists this ribosomal RNA (365 nucleotides) under Callosobruchus maculatus (cowpea weevil). RNAcentral's name for it is "partial large subunit ribosomal RNA". Lineage: Eukaryota; Metazoa; Arthropoda; Insecta; Coleoptera; Chrysomelidae. The record is from RNAcentral.
GCCUUCUGUUUUUCGAACCGGUGACGAACGCGUGCACUUUUCCCCUAGUAGGACGUCGCGAUCCGUUGGGUGUCGGUCUACGGCUCGCGGUGGAGUCCGUGUGCGAUCGUUUCGGCGAUUCGUGCUCGAACCCGCGAUGUUCCGGCCGACUCGCUCGACGGUAUACAGAUGGCGCGAGGCCGCUACGUUAAUUAGCGUCCGACCCACGGCAAGCGCGUUCGAUGCUAAGACGGCGAUCGGACCUAGUGCCGAUUCCGUUUCCGGACGACUGUUGGCCGUGUGGAUCUCUCGGACAGACCUCGUUCGAAACGCUGAUCUGCGACGCUAUAGCUUUGGGUACUUUCAGGACCCGUCUUGAAACACGG